Molecule: ribosomal RNA, 442 nt
Filed under: uncultured cyanobacterium
Lineage: Bacteria; Bacillati; Cyanobacteriota
Description: bacterial SSU rRNA
Rfam family: Bacterial small subunit ribosomal RNA
Source: RNAcentral
CCUACGGGUGGCAGCAGUAGGGAAUUUUGCGCAAUGGACGAAAGUCUGACGCAGCAAUACCGCGUGUGGGAAGAAGCUCCGUGGAGUGUAAACCACUGUCGGAUGGGAAGAAUUAAUGACGGUACCAUCAAAGGAAGCACCGGCUAACUCUGUGCCAGCAGCCGCGGUAAUACAGAGGGUGCAAGCGUUGUCCGGAUUUAUUGGGCGUAAAGCGUCUGUAGGCUGCUUUUCAAGUCUGAAGUGAAAGAAUGGAGCUCAACUCCAUACCCGCUUUGGAAACUGUUAAGCUAGAGACAGCUAGGGGUUCGUGGAAUUUCCAGUGUAGCGGUGAAAUGCGUAGAUAUUGGAAGGAACACCAGAGGCGAAGGCGGCGAACUGGAGCUGUUCUGACGCUGAGAGACGAAAGCCAGGGGAGCGAAAGGGAUUAGAUACCCUAGUAGUC